RNAcentral lists this ribosomal RNA (647 nucleotides) under uncultured Lactobacillus sp. RNAcentral describes it as "bacterial SSU rRNA". It matches the Rfam family "Bacterial small subunit ribosomal RNA", at positions 9 to 630 of the family's 1533-position model. Lineage: Bacteria; Bacillati; Bacillota; Bacilli; Lactobacillales; Lactobacillaceae. The record is from RNAcentral.
GAGUUUGAUCAUCGCUCAGGACGAACGCUGGCGGCGUGCCUAAUACAUGCAAGUCGAACGAGGCUUUUUGAUUGAUGCUUGCAUCAGCUAAAAAGCCGAGUGGCGAAUGGGUGAGUAACACGUGGGUAACCUGCCUUGAAGCGGGGGAUAACAUUUGGAAACAGAUGCUAAUACCGCAUAACCACAAAAACCUCCUGGUUUUUGUGUCAAAGAUGGUUCUGCUAUCACUUCAAGAUGAACCCGCGGCGUAUUAGCAUGUUGGUGAGGUAACGGCUCACCAAGGCAAUGAUACGUAGCCGAACUGAGAGGUUGAUCGGCCACAUUGGGACUGAGACACGGCCCAAACUCCUACGGGAGGCAGCAGUAGGGAAUCUUCCACAAUGGACGCAAGUCUGAUGGAGCAACGCCGCGUGAGUGAAGAAGGUCUUCGGAUCGUAAAACUCUGUUGUCAGAGAAGAACGUGCGUGAGAGCAACUGUUCAUGCAGUGACGGUAUCUGACCAGAAAGUCACGGCUAACUACGUGCCAGCAGCCGCGGUAAUACGUAGGUGGCAAGCGUUGUCCGGAUUUAUUGGGCGUAAAGGGAACGCAGGCGGUCUUUUAAGUCUGAUGUGAAAGCCUUCGGCUUAACCGAAGUCGUGCAUUGGA